CUUAUUUGUUCGUGAGAUUUCAUAGCAUUUACAAAUGAUAUGUUUGUGUAAUGCAAAAGCACGGUAUCUUUCCAAUCAUCAUUGAACUAGUGUUGUUUUGGUUCAGACUAGAGUUCGCGUGCUUCACGCUCUCUGGUCUGGAAGUUUGAGGCUAUGACUGGCAGUGAAGUUGGCCUCCUGAGCAACCAGUUGAUAUUCGGAUAGAGAGUCUGGACUGUCACAGAACUCUACUUACAUGGUCUUCUCGUUUGCCUAUCAAUCCUGAUAAACACGAAGCUGUCAGAAGGUUUAUUGUUCAUGUCAAAUAUGGGAACUACAGCGAAACACAAGAAAUGACUCUGCAUACAUUUGAUCGUGCCGGGUAUUCCAUCAUGCACUGUUGUCAAU
Corticium candelabrum is the source of this 387-nucleotide long non-coding RNA. RefSeq lists it as uncharacterized. The transcript has 3 exons. NCBI's taxonomy places the organism in Eukaryota, Metazoa, Porifera, Homoscleromorpha, Homosclerophorida, Plakinidae. The record is from RefSeq and is a predicted model, not a curated record.